Molecule: long non-coding RNA, 1032 nt
Organism: Lagopus muta (rock ptarmigan)
Lineage: Eukaryota; Metazoa; Chordata; Aves; Galliformes; Phasianidae
Exons: 3
Source: RefSeq, a predicted model, not a curated record
UUAAUCUGCUCCUGUAAGUGUCCCAGUGCUCACCCAAAUGUGAAGUAAACAGGGAAGCUCAAAGCAAAAACGGUGGUGUCUCAGGCCACCUCUUUUCCUCGCAGCAAUGUGGCUCAGAGCCAUGAGGUGAGGAGAAAGGAGAGCAAUCCCUUGUUGUCUAUACAUAAAAGAAACCCUCCAGCCACCAUGCUGAGGAGCAGCCUGCCCAGGGAACGGCCGCCUAGUGGGUAGCAGGGACUCACUGUGGAAGCAAAUCCCAAAGGCAGUGGGGGUACCUGCACUGUGGUUCUGCUCCACAGAAUGGUUUGUCGCCUUCUGCAGCCUUGCACUGCCUCUUCUUCAUCUCCUUGGAUUUGGGAAGCUUGCCUAGCAACACUUUGUUCUGACUUUGUGGGUAACCAAUGUGGCACAAGACUUUUAUAGGAGCCCUCAAACUGAUCUGCAAAGAUCUUCUGUUCUCCCAGCUCCUUCAGGGUUACCUUCAAGUUUUGCUGCUUUGAUGUUUUUUAUUUGCCUGGGAAAAUAAUUUGUGCCCAGACAAUUUUGUCCAAACUUUAAUAAGAGAGGGUGACCUACAUGGUUCUGUUCACAUCUGUGUUCAAAGGACGUGUAAGCACUGGGUGGGGGCAGGAGUGUAGACCUCGUGUGACAGAUGUGACUGUAGGAACGGUGAAGAACACUGAAAAUAAGGUUCUUGAAUGUAUGCAGAUGAAUUGUAGAAAAACAGCCCCUGCACCUGAAGCAAAUUAGUUAGUUCUUGAUAUGGGAGUCUGGCUGCCUUGAUCUGCAAGCUACACAACCUGAAGUUCAGUGAGCAGGGUAGGAUUUAGGAGUCCUUGUGCUGUGUGUGAUGCCCUAAGGGGUUGGAGGUUUGUGGCAGGCUAGCAGUGAGGGGCAGUGAGAAGUGAGAAAAGCCCAGCAGAGCCCAUCCCCAUUGAACUUGGAAUGGUUGAUUGAGUGGGGCACCCCAGAGCAUCUCAGGUGGCAGUGAACAUGUCUCACUGUGCAGCAGGGUUCUGCCCCAUGACCCUC